This 492-nucleotide ribosomal RNA is filed under the name uncultured bacterium. Its description in RNAcentral is "partial 16S ribosomal RNA". It matches the Rfam family "Bacterial small subunit ribosomal RNA", at positions 29 to 507 of the family's 1533-position model. The record is from RNAcentral.
AGUGAACGCUGGCGGUAGGCCUAACACAUGCAAGUCGAACGGCAGCACAGUAAGAGCUUGCUCUUACGGGUGGCGAGUGGCGGACGGGUGAGGAAUACAUCGGAAUCUACUUUUUCGUGGGGGAUAACGUAGGGAAACUUACGCUAAUACCGCAUACGACCUACGGGUGAAAGCAGGGGAUCUUCGGACCUUGCGCGAUUGAAUGAGCCGAUGUCGGAUUAGCUAGUUGGCGGGGUAAAGGCCCACCAAGGCGACGAUCCGUAGCUGGUCUGAGAGGAUGAUCAGCCACACUGGAACUGAGACACGGUCCAGACUCCUACGGGAGGUAGCAGUGGGGAAUAUUGGACAAUGGGCGCAAGCCUGAUCCAGCCAUACCGCGUGGGUGAAGAAGGCCUUCGGGUUGUAAAGCCCUUUUGUUGGGAAAGAAAAGCAGCAGGUUAAUACCCCGCUGUUCUGACGGUACCCAAGGAAUAAGCACCGGCUAACUUCGUG